GCCCAGGUAGCUCAGUUGGUAGAGCACAUGACUGAAAAUUAUGGUGUCGGUGGUUCGAAUCCGCCCCUGGGCACCA
Molecule: transfer RNA, 76 nt
Filed under: Kiloniellaceae bacterium
Lineage: Bacteria; Pseudomonadati; Pseudomonadota; Alphaproteobacteria; Rhodospirillales; Kiloniellaceae
Description: tRNA-Phe
Rfam family: tRNA
About the family: Transfer RNA (tRNA) molecules are approximately 80 nucleotides in length. Their secondary structure includes four short double-helical elements and three loops (D, anti-codon, and T loops).
Source: RNAcentral